Molecule: ribosomal RNA, 94 nt
Filed under: Filimonas effusa
Lineage: Bacteria; Pseudomonadati; Bacteroidota; Chitinophagia; Chitinophagales; Chitinophagaceae
Description: Filimonas sp. TTM-71 partial 23S ribosomal RNA
Rfam family: Bacterial large subunit ribosomal RNA
Source: RNAcentral
GUAAAUUUUUUAAAGCGAAUAAGGGCGUAUGGCGGAUGCCUAGGGUCUGAGAGGCGAUGAAGGACGUGGUAAGCUGCGAUAAGCAACGGAAAGC